This is a long non-coding RNA of Papaver somniferum (opium poppy), 1095 nucleotides long. RefSeq lists it as uncharacterized. The record is from RefSeq and is a predicted model, not a curated record. NCBI's taxonomy places the organism in Eukaryota, Viridiplantae, Streptophyta, Magnoliopsida, Ranunculales, Papaveraceae. The transcript has 2 exons.
GGAACCGCCGAACAUAACAAAUUUUCUUCCUCCGAACAGAUUUCGGUUUCUCUUGGGUUCGCGAAGAGAUGGGAUCUCGGAAAACGAACUGAUUUUCUUUCACGAUAUUUUCUUCACAAGUUAACGUACAUACAGACAAAUUAGUGUAUGUAUGAUACAAUCCAAUCAACCCUUCAAUCAUCAUAGAUUUAUAAUCAAACCAUCAAACAUCAUCAUAGAUUUAAUAGCUAUAAUGGUAAAAGAAAAAAUGCAAUACAAUCAACCCAAAAAAAACGGAAGAAAACUUAGCUUGACGCCUUGAUGUAGAUCCAAAGUUGCGUUCCUUUUGAUUUUGCUAAUCCAAGUACAGCACAAACAGAUGCCUUUUUUUUUUUUUUUUUUAAUGAUUAUCCUAUUUGAUUCAUGUACAUCACAAACAGAUGUACACAUCCAUUCAAUUGAUAAUAAACAAAAUCCCCAGAAUUUCUUUCAAGAAAUCGAGAUCCACGGAUGCUUUUUUUUUUGAUAAUCCUAUUUGAUUGAAGUACCGCACAAACAGAGGCAGAGAUUCGUGCACAUCCAUUCAAUUGAUAAACAAAAUCCUUCUUCUAUCAUCAUUCGAUGCGAAGAAAAAAAAGAAGAAAUACGAAUCAAAAUAUCCCCUUCUAGAACUUUCUCUCUCGUCGCUCUUUUGGGAUUUCAUGGCGGAUUUUCUCUUCUCUGAGUGAACCGAAGGACCACUUGGGGGUUUAGAUCAAUCAUGAGCAUGGGGAUGUAAUAGAGGAGGCUGAUUAAGGUGGAAGUCAGUUUGUGGACAUUAUAAUGCUAUCAGAUUUAUUCAUACCUAUAGGAAGGCGAACUUCUCGGCUGAUGCAAUGGCAAAAAGAGGAUGUUUACUUGGCAAUGAGGAGGGUAUACAUUAUGAUGGUAGACCUAAUUUUUUGCUUUUAGUUGAAUAUCCAAAUGUUACUUAUUUUCGUUUUAAAUAGUUUGCAAGUUUUUGGGGUCGCUGUGACCUCUUUUCUUGCAAAUUAUCUUUUGUAAAUUUGUUAUCUAUUAUUACAAGUUUUUGACUUAUCAAAAAAAAUAAUCAAACCUUCUUGUUGUUUUAGUCUA